GACGAACGCUGGCGGCGUGCUUAACACAUGCAAGUCGAACGGAAAGGCCCUGCUUUUGUGGGGUGCUCGAGUGGCGAACGGGUGAGUAACACGUGAGUAACCUGCCCUUGACUUUGGGAUAACUUCAGGAAACUGGGGCUAAUACCGGAUAGGAGCUCCUGCUGCAUUGUGGGGGUUGGAUAGUUUCGGCGGUUGGGGAUGGACUCGCGGCUUUUCCGCUUGUUGGUUGGGUAGUUGCUUACCAAGGCUUUGACGGGUAGGCGGCCUGGGAGGGUGACCGGAAAGAUGGGGACGGAGAUAGGGCACAGAGGGGAACGGGAGGCAGCAGGGGGGAAUAUUGCACAAUGGGCGGAAGCAGGAUGCAGCAAAGCAGGGUGCGGGAUGACGGCCUUCGGGUUGUAAACCGAAGUGGAAUGAGACGAAGAGUGAGUGACGGUAAUGGGUAAAGAAGCACCGGCUAACUACGUG
Molecule: ribosomal RNA, 468 nt
Filed under: uncultured bacterium
Lineage: Bacteria
Description: partial 16S ribosomal RNA
Rfam family: Bacterial small subunit ribosomal RNA
Source: RNAcentral